GAAGAGAACCCUCCUUUUUACCUGC
RNAcentral lists this non-coding RNA (25 nucleotides) under Rattus norvegicus (Norway rat). Lineage: Eukaryota; Metazoa; Chordata; Mammalia; Rodentia; Muridae. The record is from RNAcentral.